CCUACGGGAGGCAGCAGUAGGGAAUAUUGCUCAAUGGGGGAAACCCUGAAGCAGCAACGCCGCGUGGAGGAUGAAGGUUCUCGGAUUGUAAACCCCCUUUGUUAGAGAAGAUAAUGACGGUACCUAACGAAUAAGCACCGGCUAACUCCGUGCCAGCAGCCGCGGGAAUACGGAGGGUGCAAGCGUUACUCGGAAUCACUGGGCGUAAAGGGCGCGUAGGCGGGAUAGCAAGUCAGAUGUGAAAUCCUAUGGCUUAACCAUAGAACUGCAGUUGAAACUGUUAGUCUAGAGUAUGGGAGAGGUAGGUGGAAUUCUUGGUGUAGGGGUGAAAUGCGUAGAGAUCAAGAGGAAUACUCAUUGCGAAGGCGAGCUGCUGGAACGUAACUGACGCUGAGGCGCGAAAGCGUGGGGAGCAAACAGGAUUAGAUACCCUAGUAGUC
Molecule: ribosomal RNA, 440 nt
Filed under: uncultured bacterium
Lineage: Bacteria
Description: partial 16S ribosomal RNA
Rfam family: Bacterial small subunit ribosomal RNA
Source: RNAcentral